AGUGAACGCUGGCGGUAGGCCUAACACAUGCAAGUCGAACGGCAGCACAGUAAGAGCUUGCUCUUACGGGUGGCGAGUGGCGGACGGGUGAGGAAUACAUCGGAAUCUACUUUUUCGUGGGGGAUAACGUAGGGAAACUUACGCUAAUACCGCAUACGACCUACGGGUGAAAGCAGGGGAUCUUCUGACCUUGCGCGAUUGAAUGAGCCGAUGUCGGAUUAGCUAGUUGGCGGGGUAAAGGCCCACCCAGGCGACGAUCCGUAGCUGGUCUGAGAGGCUGAUCAGCCACACUGGAACUGAGACACGGUCCAGACUCCUAAGGGAGGCCGCAGUGGGGAAUAUUGGACAAUGGGCGCAAGCCUGAUCCAGCCAUACCGCGUGGGUGAAGAAGGCCUUCGGGUUGUAAAGCCCUUUUGUUGGGAAAGAAAAGCAGCAGGUUAAUACCCCGCUGUUCUGACGGUACCCAAAGAAUAAGCACCGGCUAACUUCGUG
Molecule: ribosomal RNA, 492 nt
Filed under: uncultured bacterium
Lineage: Bacteria
Description: partial 16S ribosomal RNA
Rfam family: Bacterial small subunit ribosomal RNA
Source: RNAcentral